GAAAUGCGAUAAGUAAUGUGAAUUGCAGAAUUCAGUGAAUCAUCGAAUCUUUGAACGCACCUUGCGCUCCUUGGUAUUCCUUGGAGCAUGCCUGUUUGAGUAUCAUGAAAUCUUCAAAGUAAAUCUUUUGUUAACUCAAUUGGUUUCUACUUUGGUAUUGGAGGUCUUUGCAGCUUCACACCUGCUCCUCUUUGUUCAUUAGCUGGAUCUCAGUGUUAUGCUUGGUUCCACUCGGCGUGAUAAGUUAUCUAUCGCUGAGGACACUGUAAAAGGUGGCCAAGGUAAAUGCAGAUGAACCGCUUCUAAUAGUCCAUUGACUUGGACAAUACUUUUAUGAUCGGAUCUCAAAUCAGGUAGGACUACCCGCUGAACUUAAGC
This 378-nucleotide unclassified non-coding RNA is filed under the name plant metagenome. RNAcentral's name for it is "partial contains 5.8S ribosomal RNA, internal transcribed spacer 2, and large subunit ribosomal RNA". The stretch from base 1 to 105 matches the Rfam family "5.8S ribosomal RNA", at positions 50 to 154 of the family's 154-position model. The record is from RNAcentral.